UACAGAGGGGGCGAGCGUUAUUCGGAAUCAUUGGGCGUAAAGGGCGCGUAGGCGGCCGCGUAAGUCUCGGGUGAAAUCCCUCGGCUCAACCGAGGAACUGCCCUGGAAACUGCGCGGCUCGAGGCCGGGAGAGGAUGGUGGAAUUCCCAGUGUAGCGGUGAAAUGCGUAGAUAUUGGGAGGAACACCGGUGGCGAAGGCGGCCAUCUGGACCGGUCCUGACGCUGAGGCGCGAAAGCGUGGGGAGCAAACAGG
RNAcentral lists this ribosomal RNA (253 nucleotides) under uncultured bacterium. RNAcentral describes it as "partial 16S ribosomal RNA". It matches the Rfam family "Bacterial small subunit ribosomal RNA", at positions 524 to 776 of the family's 1533-position model. The record is from RNAcentral.